Molecule: small nucleolar RNA, 149 nt
Filed under: Dasypus novemcinctus (nine-banded armadillo)
Lineage: Eukaryota; Metazoa; Chordata; Mammalia; Cingulata; Dasypodidae
Description: Small nucleolar RNA SNORA57 (ENSDNOG00000043575.1)
Rfam family: Small nucleolar RNA SNORA57
About the family: U99 belongs to the H/ACA class of snoRNAs which are thought to guide the sites of modification of uridines to pseudouridines, the target for this family is unknown.
Source: RNAcentral
CCUCCUUUUCUUGGCGGGGACCGGGCGUGCGAUCCCGGCCCCCGUUAUGUACGGAGGCAGAGGGAGAGGGCUUCGGCCCCCUUGGCGUCAUGUCUUCGGUGCCGGCGGCUUCCCGUCCGCCGGUCCUAUCCUCAGUCGCCGGGACACGG